This 451-nucleotide ribosomal RNA is filed under the name uncultured bacterium. RNAcentral's name for it is "bacterial SSU rRNA". It matches the Rfam family "Bacterial small subunit ribosomal RNA", at positions 354 to 796 of the family's 1533-position model. The record is from RNAcentral.
GUGAGGAAUAUUGCGCAAUGGGGGCAACCCUGACGCAGCGAUGCCGCGUGGGUGAAGAAGGCCUUCGGGUCGUAAAGCCCUGUCAGGCGGGAAGAAUAGCCCUUGGGUUAACAGCCGAGGGGUGUGACGGUACCGCCGAAGGAAGCACCGGCUAACUCCGUGCCAGCAGCCGCGGUAAGACGGAGGGUGCAAGCGUUAUUCGGAAUUAUUGGGCGUAAAGGGCGUGCAGGCGGCCGAUCAAGUCAGGGGUGAAAGCCCAGGGCUCAACCCUGGAAGUGCCUCUGAUACUGGUUGGCUUGAGUUCGGGAGAGGGAAGCGGAAUUCCGGGUGUAGAGGUGAAAUUCGUAGAUAUCCGGAGGAACACCGGUGGCGAAGGCGGCUUCCUGGACCGAAACUGACGCUGAGACGCGAAAGCGUGGGGAGCAAACAGGAUUAGAUACCCGAGUAGUCC